CGAAGGAUCCAAGCGUUGUCCGGAUUUACUGGGUUUAAAGGGUGCGUAGGCGGACUAUUAAGUCAGUGGUGAAAGCUUGCAGCUUAACUGUAAAAUUGCCAUUGAAACUGAUAGUCUCGAAUAUGGUUGAGGUAGUUGGAAUGUAUCAUGUAGCGGUGAAAUGCUUAGAUAUGAUACAGAACACCGAUUGCGAAGGCAGAUUACUAAACCAUUAUUGACGCUGAGGCACGAAAGCGUGGGGAUCAAACAGGAUUAGAUACCCUGGUAGUCCACGCCCUAAACGUUGCAUACUCGGUUUUAGCGAUAUACCGUUAGGACCCAAGCGAAAGCGUUAAGUAUGCCACCUGGGAAGUACGUCCGCAAGGAUG
Molecule: ribosomal RNA, 368 nt
Filed under: uncultured organism
Description: bacterial SSU rRNA
Rfam family: Bacterial small subunit ribosomal RNA
Source: RNAcentral